This 1003-nucleotide ribosomal RNA is filed under the name Escherichia coli. RNAcentral's name for it is "partial 23S ribosomal RNA". It matches the Rfam family "Bacterial large subunit ribosomal RNA", at positions 1 to 1035 of the family's 2925-position model. The record is from RNAcentral. Lineage: Bacteria; Pseudomonadati; Pseudomonadota; Gammaproteobacteria; Enterobacterales; Enterobacteriaceae.
GGGUUGUGAGGUUAAGCGACUAAGCGUACACGGUGGAUGCCCUGGCAGUCAGAGGCGAUGAAGGACGUGCUAAUCUGCGAUAAGCGUCGGUAAGGUGAUAUGAACCGUUAUAACCGGCGAUUUCCGAAUGGGGAAACCCAGUGUGUUUCGACACACUAUCAUUAACUGAAUCCAUAGGUUAAUGAGGCGAACCGGGGGAACUGAAACAUCUAAGUACCCCGAGGAAAAGAAAUCAACCGAGAUUCCCCCAGUAGCGGCGAGCGAACGGGGAGCAGCCCAGAGCCUGAAUCAGUAUGUGUGUUAGUGGAAGCGUCUGGAAAGGCGCGCGAUACAGGGUGACAGCCCCGUACACAAAAAUGCACAUGCUGUGAGCUCGAUGAGUAGGGCGGGACACGUGGUAUCCUGUCUGAAUAUGGGGGGACCAUCCUCCAAGGCUAAAUACUCCUGACUGACCGAUAGUGAACCAGUACCGUGAGGGAAAGGCGAAAAGAACCCCGGCGAGGGGAGUGAAAAAGAACCUGAAACCGUGUACGUACAAGCAGUGGGAGCACGCUUAGGCGUGUGACUGCGUACCUUUUGUAUAAUGGGUCAGCGACUUAUAUUCUGUAGCAAGGUUAACCGAAUAGGGGAGCCGAAGGGAAACCGAGUCUUAACUGGGCGUUAAGUUGCAGGGUAUAGACCCGAAACCCGGUGAUCUAGCCAUGGGCAGGUUGAAGGUUGGGUAACACUAACUGGAGGACCGAACCGACUAAUGUUGAAAAAUUAGCGGAUGACUUGUGGCUGGGGGUGAAAGGCCAAUCAAACCGGGAGAUAGCUGGUUCUCCCCGAAAGCUAUUUAGGUAGCGCCUCGUGAAUUCAUCUCCGGGGGUAGAGCACUGUUUCGGCAAGGGGGUCAUCCCGACUUACCAACCCGAUGCAAACUGCGAAUACCGGAGAAUGUUAUCACGGGAGACACACGGCGGGUGCUAACGUCCGUCGUGAAGAGGGAAACAACCCAGACCGC